This is a non-coding RNA of Phrynosoma platyrhinos (Desert horned lizard), 71 nucleotides long. The record is from the annotation of a GenBank genome assembly. NCBI's taxonomy places the organism in Eukaryota, Metazoa, Chordata, Lepidosauria, Squamata, Phrynosomatidae.
GCUAAUGUGGUGUAGUGGUUUAAGCGUUGGACUAUGACUCUGGAAACCAGGGUUCAAAUCCCAGCUUAGCC